CCUCCCCUGACCAGGUGAAGGAGAAGAGGAGCAGCUGCGGUCCAGCGGUGGUGAAUUUCUCCUCCUCCUCAACAACACACAGCGGCUAUCGAUGUUGUUGAUGUCAUGUGCUUGCUGAUCAUCUUCCGCGACGUCCGUCGGUUCCGGCUCGCCUCGGGCAGCCGCUGUGUUUUGUUUGCUGUUGUUGCUGAGUGCUGUGCUCUUGCCUGUUUGCUGUUGAUGUAUAAUUCAAUCCAGUAGUAGUUAGCAAGUAAUCCGGUAUGCUGUUGAUGAAAUAAACAUAUACCUGUGUGUGUGUAUGUGUUGAUUUCUCCCCUGCAUAUAUCCCUAAUGGCUGUUGAUGUACGAUCCAUGAAGCUCUGCUAAUGAAUUAGCUACUAGUGGAUCCUAGGAAGAAAAAAAAAAUUGUUGCACAGAAUGCCCAAGUGUGGUUAUAAAACUGUUGCAAACAAUGCUCGUAGCAGCUCAAGAACAAGUGAAAUUCACCUAGGCCAACCAAUUCCAUAUUUAGGUAUUUGCUGGGUUAAGUAUUUGGUCCCCAAAUUUUCACGCAUUAUGGUGGUGAGCUAAAACCAUCAUAAGCGAAUUAUUGCCAAACUGGUAGAAAAGGAAGCAGUGGUACUAAAGAAAAAUCACAGAAAGAGUUUAUGCCUGGUUGGACCAAGUGGUUUCUGAUCAUGCAUUCUUGAUGCUGGUGCAAGCAGGAGGCGAACGUAAGCGAGUGUUGGUGUGUAGAGGUGAUCAUUUUUGGCUUCUCAAGCAACCUGCAAGCACGCACCACACUAUUUCAGUGAAUGUAUGUGCAAGCAUCCUAAGAAUAAGUCCAAGUCCAAGUGUCCAACUGUGCUCACACGAUCAUAGCAGCUCAAUACUCACUCUACUAAAAUAAUACUCACUCUACUAUUAUCUAGGUCGGGUCGGCAAUAGAUUGAAUGUGAAAUCAAAUAUUGAUUUCCCUGUGUUUGCAGCCAUAUUUUAAUUAUAAUAAUUAGAAAAUUUAUCCCCACGGUUCUUUGGUUUCGAAUACCAUUCUAGGAUAGAGAUUGAACUCGUACUCCGAACGAAUGUACGCUGGAUCUGCUCGAACUGCGACAUUUGCCUAAUUUAUUUUCACAUUAAACAGAAUUCAGCAUUAUAAUAUGUUGUAUUAUGCUCAUGAAACAUGUACUCCCUCCAUUCCUAAAUAUAAGUCUCUUUAGAAUUUCAAUAUGGACUACUACGGAUGUAUAUAGACGUAGUUUAGAGUGUACAUUCACUCAUUUUGCUCCAUAUGUAGUCCAUAAUGGAAUCUCUAAAAAGACUUAUAUUUAGGAACGGAGGGAGUAGAUUCUAAAUUACAAUGACUUGUGGCUGGUUAGAUGUUCUACAAAAAGAUUUCAAUGCUGAAUUUGAAUUCGGAGAAGCAUAGAGAGAGACUCCGAACAAGAAAAUAUAGAAUAUAUUCAAAUUUAUGUUCUAUUUGUUGAAUUUUAGCACAAAUUAUUAUUGUCUGUUCAUUUUUGUGAAAAUUAUAUUUGCAGUCUGCAGGAUUUGGAUACUUCUUAUUUAUUUCUGCACCUACCUGUAUGUUACUCUUAUCAUAGAUAUCUUUGUUUUCAAGAGCUUGUUUUCAAAUUUCUGAAGGGCGUAUUUUUCCCCCAUGCUAGAGAUUAGAGAAAUAUAUGUUGGCGUAUUUGGGACUCAACUAACUUUAAUCCCGUAGGAACUGAUUCUUUUUCAAUGCAACAAAAAGAGGUUGGAAACCUUGCACAAGCCGUCAGGUCAGAAGUAACAAUAAAAACAAAAUGAAAUCAGUUUCCUCUCCUCCAUUUAGUACUAGUACUAGUCCGACUACUAGUACUCCAUUCCAACUGCUCACUCUACCUCCCACCUCAGCUGGUACGUAAGUGGGCAGAAUCAAAGUAUUGCCAAACUCUAAACUCAGCGUUGAAAGUGGUGUUGGUGGAUUGAUAAGCUGAUGUAUCUAAUGGCAUACAUGCCUUCCUGCGGCACCUUCCAUGCACCUUUAGUGUCUUCUUGCCUGAGGAGGAAAUUAACAGUGGUGGCCACGGCUUCCAAGGCCAAGGUUGGAACUCCCGAAAAGGCCUCCACUCAAGUCCGAUUCGCGCAACCAUUCCCACCUGAAAAGAAGGAAGUUUUCGAUUCAUUGGAGCGCUGGGCAGAGGACAACAUCCUGGUCUUGUUGAAGCCAGUAGAGAAAUCCUGGCAGCCGCAGGACUACCUGCCAGACCCUUCCUCGGAUGGAUUCCAUGAUGAAGUCAAGGAGUUGAGGGAACGGGCCAAGGAGAUCCCGGAUGACUACUUGGUCUGUCUGGUUGGAGACAUGGUCACUGAGGAAGCACUCCCUACUUACCAGACAAUGCUCAAUAUCCUCGAUGGCGGUGUCGGCGACGAUACCGGCACCAGUCCAGCCAGUUGGGCUGUCUGGACGAGGGCAUGGACGGCCGAGGAGAACAGGCACGGUGAUCUCAUGAACAAGUACAUGUACCUCACCGGGAGGGUUGAUAUGAGGCAGAUUGAGAAGACCAUACAGUAUCUCCUUGGUGCUGGAAUGGUAAGCAAGCACUUGGUGUCAGGUUCCUGAAUUUCCUUUUUUUUAUCUCAACCUCCAUUUUUCUUGCUUCCUUUUUGCUGACAAAAUUAAUUACAAGGAUUACAAUAUGUCCCGAAUGGGGAAAGACCCACGAUUUGGCAACAUAUACAUACACUUGCUAGUUGAAUGGUGUGCUCUUCUUACUUGUAGGAUCCAAAAACCGAGGGCAACCCAUAUCAGGGUUACAUCUACACAUCUUUCCAAGAGAGGGCAACCUUCAUAUCCCACGGCAACACUGCAAGGCACGCCAGGAAGUACGGGGACCUGAAACUGGCUCAGAUAUGUGGCACCAUCGCGGCCGACGAGAAGCGCCAUGAGACGGCCUACACCAAGAUUGUGGAGAAGCUCUUCGAGGUCGACCCCGACUACACCGUGCUGGCAUUCGCGGCCAUGAUGAGGAAGAAGGUCACGAUGCCCGCCCACUUGAUGUACGACGGGCAGGACGACAACCUGUUUGAGCACUUCAGCGCGGUGGCUCAACGGCUGGGCGUCUACACCGCCAUAGACUACGCGGACAUCCUCGACUUUCUGGUGCAGAGGUGGAACGUCGCCAACCUCACUGGGCUGUCUGGGGAAGGGAGGCGGGCUCAGGAUUUCCUCUGCUCACUGGGACCAAGGUUCAGGAAGCUGGAGGAGCGAGCUCAGGGCAGGGCGAAGCAGUUACCGGUUGUUCCUUUCAGCUGGAUCCAUGGUCGGCAAGUGCAACUUUGAGUGACAUUGCAAAACAAUUAUAAGACGAUUUGUUCUUCUUAUUUUCAAAAUAUGAAGCAACUGUUGACUUGUACUACUAUAAACGUAUUUACUCUACAUGUGCCAAAGAAGCUUAAAAUAACAUAAUUAUAUCAUG
This 3440-nucleotide ribosomal RNA is filed under the name Triticum aestivum (bread wheat). Its description in RNAcentral is "partial small subunit ribosomal RNA". Lineage: Eukaryota; Viridiplantae; Streptophyta; Magnoliopsida; Poales; Poaceae. The record is from RNAcentral.